This is a ribosomal RNA of Vibrio aerogenes CECT 7868, 86 nucleotides long. It matches the Rfam family "Bacterial small subunit ribosomal RNA", at positions 1 to 86 of the family's 1533-position model. NCBI's taxonomy places the organism in Bacteria, Pseudomonadati, Pseudomonadota, Gammaproteobacteria, Vibrionales, Vibrionaceae. The record is from Rfam.
UAAUUGAAGAGUUUGAUCAUGGCUCAGAUUGAACGCUGGCGGCAGGCUUAACACAUGCAAGUCGGGCGGAAACGAAAGAAAGCUUG